RNAcentral lists this unclassified non-coding RNA (570 nucleotides) under Hevea brasiliensis (rubber tree). Lineage: Eukaryota; Viridiplantae; Streptophyta; Magnoliopsida; Malpighiales; Euphorbiaceae. The record is from RNAcentral.
CCCUCCCCUUGGCCCUUCCUGCCUUUUUCUGACUAAAAGUCUCAGUUUGAUCUUACCAUACUGAUGAUUUGGAAUUUCCAGGGUGAAACUUGAAAAUAAGGUGAUUUUACUUUUUAGUAAGCUAGUAUAAGGUAAGCAAUCGGAGGUCCUAGCCAUGAAAAAGCCACUUUUAAGAAAACAAUGGAGGCUCAUAUGAGUAGAAGCCUAAUGCAUUGUGGACGUCUCUACCAAUAGAUUCCUAAUUCCUAAACUUAAUGUGCUCCAAAGCAGGAUAGUCCUAGAGUAAUGUACGGAAAUUGAGGCUCUCUUAGUAAUCUGCCAGAAGCUGAACAUGGUGAGAUUAUCCCCUAGCUGUGCUAGUUCCAUCAUACCAAAAUGUUGAUAUGAUUUCUAAAUUUUACCUUGGGUCUGCCACCGAAUUUGCCGUAAGUAUCUCAUGUAUGCUCAGCAACCAUCAAUGUGGGAUUAUUCCCCUCAAUUGCUGAGCAUCUCACUAGUCACUAGGCAAUGUGUAUAAUGGACUUUUUCCCCUUUGAAAUCCUGUUAUUUCCUUUAUUUCAUAAGUAUGGG